GUGCCAGCAGCCGCGGUAAUACGGAGGUCCCAAGGGUUGCCCGGAGUGACUGGGCGUAAAGGGUCCGUAGGCGGCCUGGUAAGUCUCCCGUGAAAGCUGCCCGCUCAACGGGCAGAGGUCGGGAGAUACUGCUGGGCUCGGGACCGGCAGGGGGGACCGGAAUUCCCGGUGUAGCGGUGAAAUGCGUAGAUAUCGGGAGGAACGCCGAUGCCGAAGGGGGGUCCCUAGGCCGGCUCCGACGCUGAGGGACGAAAGCUGGGGGAGCGAACCGGAUUAGAGACCCGGGUAGUCCCAGCCGUCAACGAUGGGUGCUAGGGGGCGGGGUAAAUCCUCGCGCCCGAAGCUAACGCGUUAAGCACCCCGCCUGGGGAGUACGGCCGCAAGGCCGAAACUCAAACGAAUUGACGGGGACCCGAACAAGCCGCGGUGCAUUUGGUUUAAUUCGAUGCAGCGCGAAGAACCUUACCCGGGCUCGACAUGCCAGCUCAAGCCUGCCCGAAAGGGUAAGGUGGGCUGGGCGAUGAGUCCAGCCAGCUGGCACAGGUGCUACAUGGCUGUCGUCAGCUCGUGCCGUGAGGCGUCGGGUUAAGUCCCAGAACGAGCGCAACCCCUGCCCGCUGUUGCCAUUCCCCGAGAGGGGAGGCACUCUGCGGGGACUGCCGGCGAAGAGUCGGAGGAAGGAGGGGACGACGUCAAGCCCGCAUGGCCCUUAUGCCCGGGGCUACACAAGUGCAACAAUGGCCGGGACAAAGGGAUGCGAGGCCGCAAGGCUGAGCAAAUCCCAAAAACCCGGCCUCAGUUCGGAUCGGGGUCUGCAACCCGACCCCGUGAAGGAGGAAUCGCUAGUAAUCGUGGAUCAGCAUGCCACGGUGAAUACGUUCCCGGGGG
RNAcentral lists this ribosomal RNA (888 nucleotides) under uncultured bacterium. Its description in RNAcentral is "bacterial SSU rRNA". It matches the Rfam family "Bacterial small subunit ribosomal RNA", at positions 505 to 1380 of the family's 1533-position model. The record is from RNAcentral.